GAUGAACGCUGGCGGCGUGCCUAAUACAUGCAAGUCGAGCGAACGGACGAGAAGCUUGCUUUUCUGAUGUUAGCGGCGGGCGGGUGAGUAACACGUGGAUAACCUACCUAUAAGACUGGGAUAACUUCGGGAAACCGGAGCUAAUACCGGAUAAUAUUUUGAACCGCAUGGUUCAAAAGUGAAAGACGGUCUUGCUGUCACUUAUAGAUGGAUCCGCGCUGCAUUAGCUAGUUGGUAAGGUAACGGCUUACCAAGGCAACGAUGCAUAGCCGACCUGAGAGGGUGAUCGGCCACACUGGAACUGAGACACGGUCCAGACUCCUACGGGAGGCAGCAGUAGGGAAUCUUCCGCAAUGGGCGAAAGCCUGACGGAGCAACGCCGCGUGAGUGAUGAAGGUCUUCGGAUCGUAAAACUCUGUUAUUAGGGAAGAACAUAUGUGUAAGUAACUGUGCACAUCUUGACGGUACCUAAUCAGAAAGCCACGGCUAACUACGUG
Molecule: ribosomal RNA, 497 nt
Filed under: uncultured bacterium
Lineage: Bacteria
Description: partial 16S ribosomal RNA
Rfam family: Bacterial small subunit ribosomal RNA
Source: RNAcentral